Molecule: regulatory RNA element, 117 nt
Organism: Ruegeria pomeroyi DSS-3
Lineage: Bacteria; Pseudomonadati; Pseudomonadota; Alphaproteobacteria; Rhodobacterales; Roseobacteraceae
Rfam family: ALIL pseudoknot
Source: Rfam
CGCAUAUUUUGCGAUGGCGGAGCUCGACCGCCGGUCGAAGUGAUGGUGGACUUCGUUGAGGCGCACAGGGAUGCGCACGGGGUCGAGCCGACCUGCGCGGUACUGCCGAUUGCUCCU